CUGAAGAAUCUGAUCAGUGUCCUGGUGUUAGUCCUGGACUCCAGUACGUAGCAUUCGCAGAUUGUUGUAGGCUGCUUUGUAUAAAAUGGAAAUUCCAUGAGGUCACAAUUUAAACGUCAGAAGGCACUAUGAGACAUUAUAGAGUAUCUCAAGUAAAAGAAAGCCAUCAAUAAUUAUAUGGUUGUGAGAGUUGAUUGAAACUUCUGAAGAUUGUAAUCAAUUAUCAACAAUCCUUCCACCCAUCCUUUUA
Long non-coding RNA from Corticium candelabrum, 250 nucleotides. RefSeq lists it as uncharacterized. The transcript has 3 exons. The record is from RefSeq and is a predicted model, not a curated record. NCBI's taxonomy places the organism in Eukaryota, Metazoa, Porifera, Homoscleromorpha, Homosclerophorida, Plakinidae.